Long non-coding RNA from Triticum dicoccoides, 613 nucleotides. RefSeq lists it as uncharacterized. The transcript is spliced from 3 exons. The record is from RefSeq and is a predicted model, not a curated record. NCBI's taxonomy places the organism in Eukaryota, Viridiplantae, Streptophyta, Magnoliopsida, Poales, Poaceae.
GUCCCGCUUAUAUGUCAUGCUUGUGUGUGAGUAGAAUGCGUCCGCUUAUUUCAGUCGUUAUACAUGUUUUGGAGGUCGUGGUGGCGGCGUAGUGCGGUGUGCUUUAUGACGCUUUCGUAUCUGUGCGAGGUUGCAGAGGACGUGUCUGUACUUGCUGGGGUAGAAUUCAAAUUGUGAGGGAUGGUUGUGCUUAGAUUUGGUCGCUGCUGGUCGGUUCUUGAGUUCAGCGCAUGAAAACCUGCAACUGCUAUCAAGCGAACCACAGGAGGGAGCAGCAGGCAUAGAAGAAAUCCCAAGCCAAUUUUGCUCAGCUGUAGCAUCUUCCACUGACAAUAAGUCUGCACAGCAGCCUGGUGAGGCUGAUGUUCUUGCUCAGUAUAAGCCAACAAUGGAGAAACUGACCAAGCUAUCUUUCAUGAUCAGUUACACACCAAGCCUAUAUUUUUGCUGCUUCUACAUGUUGCUAUGAUGGUCAUUCAGCCCAUUUUCUUGAACCUGCACUACAACGAGAAAUUUGGGCUGCUUCUUUGUGGCUUCCAAACUUGAAAUGUUUGUUUGGAAGUUAGUUUAGAUUUUUGUUGUGGAUUCACAGCUUCUCACAUGUACCAUCCUC